This 252-nucleotide ribosomal RNA is filed under the name uncultured bacterium. RNAcentral's name for it is "partial 16S ribosomal RNA". It matches the Rfam family "Bacterial small subunit ribosomal RNA", at positions 524 to 776 of the family's 1533-position model. The record is from RNAcentral.
UCCGUAGGUGGCAAGCGUUGUCCGGAAUUAUUGGGCGUAAAGCGCGCGCAGGCGGUUUUGUAAGUCUGAUGUUUAAGCCCGGGGCUCAACCUCGGUUCGCAUUGGAAACUGUGUAACUUGAGUGCAGAAGAGGAAAGUGGUAUUCCACGUGUAGCGGUGAAAUUCGUAGAUAUGUGGAGGAACACCAGUGGCGAAGGCGACUUUCUGGUCUGUAACUGACGCUGAGGCGCGAAAGCGUGGGGAGCAAACAGG